GGGUUGUGAGGUUAAGCGACUAAGCGUACACGGUGGAUGCCCUGGCAGUCAGAGGCGAUGAAGGGCGUGCUAAUCUGCGAUAAGCGCCGGUAAGGUGAUAUGAACCGUUAUAACCGGCGAUACCCGAAUGGGGAAACCCAGUGUGACUUGUCACACUAUCAUUAACUGAAUCCAUAGGUUAAUGAGGCGAACCGGGGGAACUGAAACAUCUAAGUACCCCGAGGAAAAGAAAUCAACCGAGAUUCCCCCAGUAGCGGCGAGCGAACGGGGAGGAGCCCAGAGCCUGAAUCAGCAUGUGUGUUAGUGGAAGCGUCUGGAAAGGCGCGCGAUACAGGGUGACAGCCCCGUACACAAAAGCGCAUGUGCUGUGAGCUCGAUGAGUAGGGCGGGACACGUGGUAUCCUGUCUGAAUAUGGGGGGACCAUCCUCCAAGGCUAAAUACUCCUGACUGACCGAUAGUGAACCAGUACCGUGAGGGAAAGGCGAAAAGAACCCCGGCGAGGGGAGUGAAAAAGAACCUGAAACCGUGUACGUACAAGCAGUGGGAGCCCCACCACCAAAGCAUUCUCUGGUGUUGAAGGCCCUGCAAAGCAGCAUCGCGGUGGCGGAGCGUCGUUUGCGACGCCCGACACACAAAACAAGCGGUGAGUGCUUUGGGGUGGGGUGACUGCGUACCUUUUGUAUAAUGGGUCAGCGACUUAUAUUCUGUAGCAAGGUUAACCGUAUAGGGGAGCCGGAGGGAAACCGAGUCUUAAUUGGGCGUUAAGUUGCAGGGUAUAGACCCGAAACCCGGUGAUCUAGCCAUGGGCAGGUUGAAGGUUGGGUAACACUAACUGGAGGACCGAACCGACUAAUGUUGAAAAAUUAGCGGAUGACCUGUGGCUGGGGGUGAAAGGCCAAUCAAACCGGGAGAUAGCUGGUUCUCCCCGAAAGCUAUUUAGGUAGCGCCUCGUGAAUUCAUCUCCGGGGGUAGAGCACUGUUUCGGCUAGGGGGUCAUCCCGACUUACCAACCCGAUGCAAACUGCGAAUACCGGAGAAUGUUAUCACGGGAGACACACGGCGGGUGCUAACGUCCGUCGUGAAGAGGGAAACAACCCAGACCGCCAGCUAAGGUCCCAAAGU
RNAcentral lists this ribosomal RNA (1123 nucleotides) under Salmonella enterica. Its description in RNAcentral is "partial 23S ribosomal RNA". It matches the Rfam family "Bacterial large subunit ribosomal RNA", at positions 1 to 1053 of the family's 2925-position model. The record is from RNAcentral. Lineage: Bacteria; Pseudomonadati; Pseudomonadota; Gammaproteobacteria; Enterobacterales; Enterobacteriaceae.